Andrographis paniculata is the source of this 1456-nucleotide long non-coding RNA. RefSeq lists it as uncharacterized. The record is from RefSeq and is a predicted model, not a curated record. Lineage: Eukaryota; Viridiplantae; Streptophyta; Magnoliopsida; Lamiales; Acanthaceae. The transcript has 3 exons.
CGCCGACUAGGCCGUCGCCGCCGCUCUCUUCUUUCCGGCCUCAAGAGAUCCGAACCCGAAUUAUACCAUUUUUCACUUUUACUUGUUUGAGCUCGGUUUUCACGGUUUCCUCUAUGGUAUUCAUAAAUCCGGAGACUUUAAUCAGGAAACAGGAUGCUGAAAUCGUUAUUUAAUCUCCUAGUAAUGGAAUGGCCAGAAUUGCAUUCUUCGGUGGCUGUAAAUUCUCACUCAGUCACUCAUCUUCACCAUUUGCUAAGCUCCUGGAAACCUGCACGAAAUCUAGGUCAUCAACGGACGUCCGGGCUGUCCAUGCUUCCAUUGUCAAGUCUCAGUUCAUUCAUGAAGUGUUCAUCAACAAUAGGCUGAUCGAUGUGUACGGAAAAUGUGGGUAUUCUAAAUACGCCCGUAAGUUGUUCGACAAAAUGCCUACAACAAAUGCCUUUACUUAUAAUUCAAUUAUCGGUGCAUUGACGAUGUCUGGAUCGAUAGAUGAGGCUGAAAAGGUUUUUGCUUCAAUGCCUGAAUGUGAUCAGUGUUCCUGGAAUUUGGUGGGCUCUGGUUUUGCUCAGGCUGAGAACUUUGAUAGAUCUUUGGAGUAUUUUGUGAAAAUGCAUGAAGCAGAUUUCAUGCUAAAUGAGUAUAGUUUUGGGAGUGCACUCAGCGCUUGUGCCGGAUUGCGGGACUUGCUAACGGGUAUACAAAUUCAUGCUUGUCUUGCUAAGUCAAGGUUCGAAUUGGAUGUCUAGGCCGGUCGCCGACUAGGCCGUCGCCGCCGCUCUCUUCGUAGCCUCUCUCCGUCGUCGUUGUCCAGUCGGUUGCUGCUCUAUCCCCUUUCUCAAACCGCCCACCAUCAGAAAUCUUCCUGCCAUCUUCUAAUCGUCUUGUCGAGCUCAAGAUGGGUAGGCCAUCUUCUAAUCGUCCUGGAACUGCGAACCUCGUCAUUGAGGUUGGCGAGGCCGAAAACCCUCCCACUGGAUCUAUAGGGGUUUACUCCAAGCCUGAGGCUAGAUCUUGGUCUCUGGAAGGGGCACUGAAACUGAAGAAUUUGCUCGGAUAUGGAGAUAUUUGGGAUGGUUCGGUUGCGUGUGGAUGGGGUCAGGUAUUGGAAGUUAGCGCGGGACUCUCUUUACCUCGAUUUAAAGGAAUGUCGACUCCUUUGUCUUGGCAAAACCCACGAUUAUGAAUCAUAUAUUAUGUAUCUUUCAACUAUUCUGCUGGGAAGAGGGACUAAAGGCUUAUAUAUUGAGUGGACUUGAUUGGCUUUCAAAAGAAAGUCAAAUAUGCAAUUAAAGAAGAGGAGACUAGCUCAAUUAAUUAAUUACAUUGUCAAUAAUAUAUAUAUAAUCCUGAUAGAUGAUUUUGAGAAGAAACCUAGUUUGUAAUAAGGUAAUGCAGGCCGACUAUUAGAUUGUAUUAAGCUCCAUUGGAUUUUGUUAUGUGCAGCAGUUUGUAUACA